GCCCUGGUGGUGGAAUUGGUAGACACGCUGUCUUGAGGGGGCAGUGGGGCGACCCGUUCCGGUUCGACUCCGGACCAGGGCACCA
RNAcentral lists this transfer RNA (85 nucleotides) under Nitrospinota bacterium. RNAcentral describes it as "tRNA-Leu". Lineage: Bacteria; Pseudomonadati; Nitrospinota. The record is from RNAcentral. RNAcentral also lists the same sequence under 1 other name.